Molecule: ribosomal RNA, 530 nt
Filed under: uncultured bacterium
Lineage: Bacteria
Description: bacterial SSU rRNA
Rfam family: Bacterial small subunit ribosomal RNA
Source: RNAcentral
UGGGGAAUAUUGCACAAUGGGCGGAAGCCUGAUGCAGCGACGCCGCGUGGGGGAUGAAGGCCUUCGGGUUGUAAACUCCUUUCGACAGGGACGAAGCUUUUGUGACGGUACCUGUAUAAGAAGCACCAGCUAACUACGUGCCAGCAGCCGCGGUAAUACGUAGGGUGCGAGCGUUGUCCGGAAUUACUGGGCGUAAAGAGCUCGUAGGUGGUUUGUCGCGUCGUCUGUGAAAUUCCGGGGCUUAACUCCGGGCGUGCAGGCGAUACGGGCUGACUUGAGUGCUGUAGGGGAGACUGGAAUUCCUGGUGUAGCGGUGAAAUGCGCAGAUAUCAGGAGGAACACCGAUGGCGAAGGCAGGUCUCUGGGCAGUAACUGACGCUGAGGAGCGAAAGCAUGGGUAGCGAACAGGAUUAGAUACCCUGGUAGUCCAUGCCGUAAACGGUGGGCGCUAGGUGUAGGGGGCUUCCACGUCUUCUGUGCCGUAGCUAACGCAUUAAGCGCCCCGCCUGGGGAGUACGGCCGCAAGGCUA